GACGAACGCUGGCGGCGUGCUUAACACAUGCAAGUCGAACGGAAAGGCCCUGCUUUUGUGGGGUGCUCGAGUGGCGAACGGGUGAGUAACACGUGAGUAACCUGCCCUUGACUUUGGGAUAACUUCAGGAAACUGGGGCUAAUACCGGAUAGGAGCUCCUGCUGCAUGGUGGGGGUUGGAAAGUUUCGGCGGUUGGGGAUGGACUCGCGGCUUAUCAGCUUGUUGGUGGGGUAGUGGCUUACCAAGGCUUUGACGGGUAGCCGGCCUGAGAGGGUGACCGGCCACUGUGGAUGGGAUAUCGCGCCCAGCGCCCGCGGGGAGCGAGAAGGGGGAUAUUUGCCACAGGGGGGGGAACCGGUACCCAGCACCCCCGGGUGGGGGGGGGGGCCUUGCGGUUUGGAACCCUUUUCCCCCGGUGACAAAGGGGGGGGGAGGUAAAGGGAAAAAAAGCCCCGGAAAAGCCCGGGC
Molecule: ribosomal RNA, 468 nt
Filed under: uncultured bacterium
Lineage: Bacteria
Description: partial 16S ribosomal RNA
Rfam family: Bacterial small subunit ribosomal RNA
Source: RNAcentral